Molecule: non-coding RNA, 1351 nt
Filed under: Cryptosporidium parvum
Lineage: Eukaryota; Apicomplexa; Conoidasida; Eucoccidiorida; Cryptosporidiidae
Source: RNAcentral
AAAAAAUAUUGCUAAAUUAGCUCUUUGAGAGAGAAAGAAUAAUAGCAGAUUGGGACUCAAGGUGUUGCUUUAGAGUGGGAAGAAUCUGGUCAUUCGAAUCAACAUCUAAAACAAUUUUAAGAGACUCAAUGAUAUUAUGAACAUUUGAAGAGUUCUCUUGGAAAGACUGGAUCUGAGGUUGAGUAUUUGGAGCUUUCUUUGAGUGAUUUAUGUUAAUUAGAUCAGUGAGAAUCUUUAGGCAUUCAUUGGGAGAGGUGGUUUUGUAAUCAAGACUUAAAGUUGAGCAAAUAGUUUUGAAAAACUUCUUAAAAUCUCUCAGUUGUAUAUAUAUUGCAUUAGAUGCUUGGAUAACGUCUUGAUCAUCAAGUACAUCAAAUAGAGUUUUAAAGUGGUUGUAGAAACGAUCAUGUAGUUCAAUUGAUAUGACUUCUUGGCUAUUAUUUUGGGAGGAAAUUUUCUUGGAUGAAGCACUUUCGAAAAUAUGAGUGAUUUUCGGGGUUGCUGAAGUACUCUUUUUGGCUAAUAGUUGUCCAAUUUGAAUCGGAAUGUUUCUAAAGUUUGAUAUAUUAAGUAGCCUACAAGACCACCUAACUAUGCUUUCUAAUUCAGAUCUAUCAGUAUUCUGUAACAUAUAAAGACCUCUGGUCCAAAGAUUCUUGUCUCUUUUCAUUAACUCACUUGUGGAAAUAUUAUUUUCUUGACAAAAUUCAAAGAAGGAUUUCUCAGAAAUAGUAUCAUUUGAAUUUCCUAAAUUAGUUUCAUUACCCUCAAAUGAGUCUUGCCCGUUUUUAGAAUCUAAGUUAUUUUGUCCGUUGGCUUGCAAUUUCCAAUAGCUGAUCGAUUUUUCAAAUCCUACAAUUAUUGAGUAAAGGUAGUGUGAUUGAAGAAUUUUCUUUUUUUCUAAAGUUGUUAAGGUUGUUCCACUAAUAUUACUGCUCGUACCCGUAUGGUUGAAGGUGCUGGCUCUGUUAGAAUCUCUUUCAUUGUCCAGAUUGUUCUUAACAGACCUCAAAAAUUGAUCAGCUUUAUCUCUUGACUUAUCAUCAUCCUCUUGAAGCUUUAGAAUAUCUUGUUUUAGUCGGCUAUUUUCAACAAGAAGUUGCUGUUUCUCUCUUUCUAACUUGCUAAUUGCAGAGCCUUGCGGGGUUUCCCUACCUUGAACCCUAUUUUUUCUAUUAGAUUGUUCUUCUUCGGUUAAAACUCUAUUUAUCAUUCUAAGAGAUUCAUUCUCUUUCUCUAAGGCUUCAUAUUUCCUUCUCAAGAGGUUUAACUUUUCUAUAAGUCCGUUUUUUUGUGACCUUUCAGAGUUUAUAGUUUCAACAGUGUGUUCACCUCGAGAUUCUAAUUCAUA